This 301-nucleotide ribosomal RNA is filed under the name uncultured bacterium. RNAcentral describes it as "partial 16S ribosomal RNA". It matches the Rfam family "Bacterial small subunit ribosomal RNA", at positions 509 to 807 of the family's 1533-position model. The record is from RNAcentral.
CAGUCGCCACGGUAAUACGGAGGGAGCUAGCGUUGUUCGGAAUUACUGGGCGUAAAGCGCGCGUAGGCGGUUACUCAAGUCAGAGGUGAAAGCCCGGGGCUCAACCCCGGAACUGCCUUUGAAACUAGGUGACUAGAAUCUUGGAGAGGUCAGUGGAAUUCCGAGUGUAGAGGUGAAAUUCGUAGAUAUUCGGAAGAACACCAGUGGCGAAGGCGACUGACUGGACAAGUAUUGACGCUGAGGUGCUAAAGCGUGGGGAGCAAACAGGAUUAGAUACCCCUGUAGUCCCUGUCUCUUAUAC